UACGGAGGUCCCAAGCGUUGUUCGGAUUCACUGGGCGUAAAGGGUGCGUAGGCGGCUGAGUAAGUCUGAUGUGAAAUCUCCGAGCCUAACUCGGAAACUGCAUCGGAUACUAUUCAGCUAGAGGAUUGGAAGGGAGACUGGAAUUCUCGGUGUAGCAGUGAAAUGCGUAGAUAUCGAGAGGAACACCAGUGGCGAAGGCGAGUCUCUGGACAAUUCCUGACGCUGAGGCACGAAAGCCAGGGGAGCAAACGGG
RNAcentral lists this ribosomal RNA (253 nucleotides) under uncultured bacterium. Its description in RNAcentral is "partial 16S ribosomal RNA". It matches the Rfam family "Bacterial small subunit ribosomal RNA", at positions 524 to 776 of the family's 1533-position model. The record is from RNAcentral.